GGACUGUGGCUCAGUAGUAGAGCGCUUCCCUAGCAUGUGUGAGGCACUGGGUUCGAACCUCAGCAUCA
Molecule: transfer RNA, 68 nt
Filed under: Marmota monax (woodchuck)
Lineage: Eukaryota; Metazoa; Chordata; Mammalia; Rodentia; Sciuridae
Description: tRNA.Ala
Source: RNAcentral